This 49-nucleotide transfer RNA is filed under the name Bryoxiphium norvegicum. RNAcentral's name for it is "partial tRNA-Leu". Lineage: Eukaryota; Viridiplantae; Streptophyta; Bryopsida; Bryoxiphiales; Bryoxiphiaceae. The record is from RNAcentral. RNAcentral also lists the same sequence under 1 other name.
AAAUCCUUUGGCUUUAUUGACCGUGAGGGUUCAAGUCCCUCUACCCCCA